GUCUCUGUAGCGUAAUGGAUUGUGCUUUGGACUUCUAAUUCGAAGGUCGUGGGUUCGAACCCCACCUGGGAUG
Non-coding RNA from Trichonephila inaurata madagascariensis, 73 nucleotides. NCBI's taxonomy places the organism in Eukaryota, Metazoa, Arthropoda, Arachnida, Araneae, Nephilidae. The record is from the annotation of a GenBank genome assembly.